UCCUCAGUAGCUCAAUGAUAGAGUGGUCGGUUGUUAACCGAUUGAUCAUAGGUUCAAAUCCUACUUGGGAAG
RNAcentral lists this transfer RNA (72 nucleotides) under Solanum tuberosum (potato). It matches the Rfam family "tRNA". Rfam says of the family: Transfer RNA (tRNA) molecules are approximately 80 nucleotides in length. Their secondary structure includes four short double-helical elements and three loops (D, anti-codon, and T loops). The record is from Rfam by way of RNAcentral. Lineage: Eukaryota; Viridiplantae; Streptophyta; Magnoliopsida; Solanales; Solanaceae.